Molecule: ribosomal RNA, 244 nt
Filed under: uncultured bacterium
Lineage: Bacteria
Description: partial 16S ribosomal RNA
Rfam family: Bacterial small subunit ribosomal RNA
Source: RNAcentral
CGCAGUAGCAAUACUGAGUGGCAAACGGGUGAGUAUAAUGUGGGAAUCUGCCUUUUGGUACGGAAUAGCCUCGGGAAACUGGGAGUAAUACCGUAUGUGCCCUUCGGGGGAAAGAUUUAUCGCCAAAGGAUUGGCCCGCGUUGGAUUAGGUAGUUGGUGGGGUAAUGGCCUACCAAGCCGACGAUCCAUAGCUGGUUUGAGAGGAUGGACAGCCACAUUGGGACUGAGAUACGGCCCAGACUCC